GGCGGUAUUUUAGUCUAUUCAGAGGAAUCUGUCCUAUAAUUGAUAAUCCACGAUUUAAUUUACUUUUAGAAAAAAUUUAUAUAUCGUCGUAGUUUGAAUAUUUUAAAAGAAUUUUAAUGUUCAAAAUUUUUUUAUAAAAUUAAAUCAGAUCAAGGUGUAGUUUAUAUAAAAGAAGAGAUGGAUUACAUUAAAUUUAUUUAAAGAUUAAUUUUUGUAAAAUUUUAUGAAUAUGGAUUUGAUAGUAAUUUUUUUAAAAUUUUAAAAAUGAUUUAAGCUCUAAAAUAUGUA
RNAcentral lists this ribosomal RNA (288 nucleotides) under Desmocerus californicus californicus. Its description in RNAcentral is "partial small subunit ribosomal RNA". Lineage: Eukaryota; Metazoa; Arthropoda; Insecta; Coleoptera; Cerambycidae. The record is from RNAcentral.